GUUAGAAUUACCAAUUAGAUAUGAUUAUAACUUACCCUGGCUAACACUGCACUACUGUUGGAAAUCUGAAUCCCAUUAAAAUCUAAUUAGCAUAUAUUAAGUCGAAGGCGGUUUUACUGCAGUGGGCCAGCAGGUUUGAGCUGCGACAGGCCGGGCACGUGGACUCACUGCCCACUUCAGCAUGCUGGCCAAUGGCCCACAGUGCCCAGGUGGGUGCCAGGCAGCCUAUGGGCAGCUUUUCUCCUCCUAAGCUGAGACCAGACGGCCCAUGCUCACAGAAAGGGGCAGCUCCAGACGUGGACAUGAUGUUCGAGGUUCCGCCUUUAGAUGAGUGGCCAGCAUCCACGGAAAGCCUUCUUUGCCAUGUGGCUAAGCCAACCAAGGCGCUCUGGGGUCAGUGCUCUGGGCUAAGAGGAUGAGGGUGGUUUUGGCAACCCCUGGGAGCCAGUCAGCUUGGUGGCUGAAUGCUAGCAUCACGGAAUAUACCCUUCCCUGGGCUUACGGGUAUGGGGGUGCUUCUGCAAGGGUGUAACUGCUAUAUCUUCAUCUCUGGAAAAGCGCCUGGUAUAAUAAUAGCAAACAGUUGCUUAGCACGUACAAUGGGCUAAGGUUUUAUUUUCAUAUUCUCAACCUCGCAAAAAUUCCAAGGAAAAAGUACUAGGAUUAGGCCCAUUUUAUGCACGUUGAACCUGAGGCUUAAAGAGGUUAAGGAACUUGCUCCCGGUCUACAACCAAGGAGUAGAACACACUAGUUUGCUAGGGCCUCCAUAACAAAGUACCAUACACUGCGGGGUGUAAACAACAGUGUGUAUUUUCUCAGAGCUCUGGAGGCUGGAAGUCCAAGACCAGGGAUUCAGCAGGGUGGGUUCCUUUGGAGGCCCCUGUCCUUGGCUUAUGGAUGCCGUCUUCAUCCUGUGUCCUCCUGUGGCCUUCCCUCUGCAAGUGUCUGAGUCUUAAUCCCCUCUCUCAUGAGAACACCAGGUACGUUGGUGUAAGGCUCACCCUGGUGACCUCAUUUUACUGAAUUACCUCUGUAAAGACCCUUUCUCCAAACAGCC
This 1058-nucleotide long non-coding RNA is filed under the name Homo sapiens (human). Its description in RNAcentral is "long non-coding RNA NONHSAT153439". The record is from RNAcentral. Lineage: Eukaryota; Metazoa; Chordata; Mammalia; Primates; Hominidae.